RNAcentral lists this ribosomal RNA (433 nucleotides) under uncultured bacterium. RNAcentral describes it as "partial 16S ribosomal RNA". It matches the Rfam family "Bacterial small subunit ribosomal RNA", at positions 29 to 507 of the family's 1533-position model. The record is from RNAcentral.
AACGAACGCUGGCGGCAUGCCUAACACAUGCAAGUCGAACGAGACCUUCGGGUCUAGUGGCGCACGGGUGCGUAACGCGUGGGAACCUGCCCUUUGGUUCGGAAUAACUCCCCGAAAUGGGUGCUAAUACCGGAUAAUGUCUUCGGACCAAAGAUUUAUCGCCUUUGGAUGGGCCCGCGUUGGAUUAGCUAGUUGGUAGGGUAAACGCCUACCAAGGCGACGAUCCAUAGCUGGUCUGAGAGGAUGAUCAGCCACACUGGGACUGAGACACGGCCCAGACUCCUACGGGAGGCAGCAGUGGGGAAUAUUGGACAAUGGGCGAAAGCCUGAUCCAGCAAUGCCGCGUGAGUGAUGAAGGCCUUAGGGUUGUAAAGCUCUUUUACCCGGGAAGAUAAUGACAGUACCGGGAGAAUAAGCUCCGGCUAACUCCGUG